CGGGAGCAAUAUUAUUUAGACAUAAGGAUAGGAGGACUGAUUGCCUUUAAGCUUCUGUGCGAAUGUAAUUCAUGAUUAAUUGCUAGAGAGAAAAGACAUUGUAAACUACUAAUUAGGAGUAGACACUCUUCACUGAGACAUCGAGUUUAGGGUAAAUUAGAAAGUGGCAUUGACAUUAAUGAAGGAGUUGAAUUCGUAAAUAUAUGAGAGUGGAUAAGAUAAAGUCGGAAACCCCAACAACAUAAUUCAUCCAUAUAUCAUUCACCUGCGUAUUCUUUUGGUCAAUUGAUCAACAACUACAUUCAUGUUUAUUUUCUAUUUUUCAUUAUAAAUAAUGAUUUUC
This 343-nucleotide long non-coding RNA is filed under the name Vigna radiata. RNAcentral's name for it is "long non-coding RNA (VRAD_LNC004315)". Lineage: Eukaryota; Viridiplantae; Streptophyta; Magnoliopsida; Fabales; Fabaceae. The record is from RNAcentral.